GGAAUUUUGGGCAAUGGGCGAAAGCCUGACCCAGCAACGCCGCGUGAAGGAUGAAAUCCCUCGGGAUGUAAACUUCGCAAGAACGGGAAGAAUAAGUAAGAGCUAACAUCUCUUACGAUGACGGUACUGUUUGUAAGCCCCGGCUAACUCCGUGCCAGCAGCCGCGGUAAUACGGAGGGGGCAAGCGUUAUUCGGAAUCAUUGGGCGUAAAGGGCGCGUAGGCGGCCUGGCAAGUCAAAGGUGAAAUCCCUCGGCCCAACCGAGGAACCGCCUUUGAAACUGCAAGGCUCGAGGCCGGGAGAGGGUAGCGGAAUUCCCAGUGUAGCGGUGAAAUGCGUAGAUAUUGGGAGGAACACCAGUGGCGAAGGCGGCUACCUGGACCGGUUCUGACGCUGAGGCGCGAAAGCGUGGGGAGCAAA
Molecule: ribosomal RNA, 419 nt
Filed under: uncultured bacterium
Lineage: Bacteria
Description: bacterial SSU rRNA
Rfam family: Bacterial small subunit ribosomal RNA
Source: RNAcentral